Molecule: small RNA, 149 nt
Filed under: Chrysemys picta bellii (western painted turtle)
Lineage: Eukaryota; Metazoa; Chordata; Testudines; Emydidae
Description: TUC338 (ENSCPBG00000020985.1)
Source: RNAcentral
CUGUAGUAAUAUACAUUUUAUUUAUCUCCACAGUACAGCACAGACAGUGUCAGUAUAACUUUCCCCACACAGCUCUGCCAACGGGCCUCAACCCUGACCUUGAGGGAAAGAGCAAUUCAUUCUAUGUGCCAAUUCAAUUCUUGGCCUGU